AUGAACGCUGGCGGCGUGCCUAAUACAUGCACGUCGAGCGAACAGAUGAGGAGCUUGCUCCUCUGACGUUAGCGGCGGACGGGUGAGUAACACGUGGAUAACCUACCUAUAAGACUGGGAUAACUUCGGGAAACCGGAGCUAAUACCGGAUAAUAUAUUGAACCGCAUGGUUCAAUAGUGAAAGACGGUUUUGCUGUCACUUAUGGAUGGAUCCGCGCCGCAUUAGCUAGUUGGUAAGGUAACGGCUUACCAAGGCAACGAUGCGUAGCCGACCUGAGAGGGUGAUCGGCCACACUGGAACUGAGACACGGUCCAGACUCCUACGGGAGGCAGCAGUAGGGAAUCUUCCGCAAUGGGCGAAAGCCUGACGGAGCAACGCCGCGUGAGUGAUGAAGGUCUUCGGAUCGUAAAACUCUGUUAUUAGGGAAGAACAAAUGUGUAAGUAACUAUGCACGUCUUGACGGUACCUAAUCAGAAAGCCACGGCUAACUACGUG
This 496-nucleotide ribosomal RNA is filed under the name uncultured bacterium. RNAcentral describes it as "partial 16S ribosomal RNA". It matches the Rfam family "Bacterial small subunit ribosomal RNA", at positions 29 to 507 of the family's 1533-position model. The record is from RNAcentral.